UUACCGAGUUUACAACUCCCAAACCCAAUGUGAACCAUACCAAACUGUUGCCUCGGCGGGGUCACGCCCCGGGUGCGUCGCAGCCCCGGAACCAGGCGCCCGCCGGAGGGACCAACCAAACUCUUUUCUGUAGUCCCCUCGCGGACGUUAUUUCUUACAGCUCUGAGCAAAAAUUCAAAAUGAAUCAAAACUUUCAACAACGGAUCUCUUGGUUCUGGCAUCGAUGAAGAACGCAGCGAAAUGCGAUAAGUAAUGUGAAUUGCAGAAUUCAGUGAAUCAUCGAAUCUUUGAACGCACAUUGCGCCCGCCAGUAUUCUGGCGGGCAUGCCUGUCCGAGCGUCAUUUCAACCCUCGAACCCCUCCGGGGGGUCGGCGUUGGGGACCUCGGGAGCCCCUAAGACGGGAUCCCGGCCCCGAAAUACAGUGGCGGUCUCGCCGCAGCCUCUCCUGCGCAGUAGUUUGCACAACUCGCACCGGGAGCGCGGCGCGUCCACGUCCGUAAAACACCCAACUUCUGAAAUGUUGACCUCGGAUCAGGUAGGAAUACCCGCUGAACUUAAGCAUAUCAAUA
RNAcentral lists this ribosomal RNA (571 nucleotides) under Trichoderma atroviride. RNAcentral describes it as "eukaryotic LSU rRNA". The stretch from base 189 to 342 matches the Rfam family "5.8S ribosomal RNA". The record is from RNAcentral. Lineage: Eukaryota; Fungi; Ascomycota; Sordariomycetes; Hypocreales; Hypocreaceae.